Molecule: ribosomal RNA, 497 nt
Filed under: uncultured bacterium
Lineage: Bacteria
Description: partial 16S ribosomal RNA
Rfam family: Bacterial small subunit ribosomal RNA
Source: RNAcentral
GAUGAACGCUGGCGGCGUGCCUAAUACAUGCAAGUCGAGCGAACAGACGAGGAGCUUGCUCCUCUGACGUUAGCGGCGGACGGGUGAGUAACACGUGGAUAACCUACCUAUAAGACUGGGAUAACUUCGGGAAACCGGAGCUAAUACCGGGGAAUAUAUUGAACCGCAUGGUUCAAUAGUGAAAGACGGUUUUGCUGUCACUUGUAGAUGGAUCCGCGCCGCAUUAGCUAGUUGGUAAGGUAACGGCUUACCAAGGCGACGAUGCGUAGCCGACCGGAGAGGGUGAUCGGCCACACUGGAACGGAGACACGGUCCAGACGCCUACGGGAGGAAGCAGUAGGGAAUAUUCCGCAAUGGGCGAAAGACUGACGGAGCAACGCCGCGUGAGUGAGGAAGGUCUUCGGAUCGUAAAACUCUGUUAUUAGGGAAGAACAAAUGUGUACGUAACUAUGCACGGCUUGACGGUACCUAAUCAGAAAGCCACGGCUAACUACGUG